GGCUCAGAACGAACGCUGGCGGCGUGCUUAACACAUGCAAGUCGAACGCGAAAGGGACUUCGGUCCUGAGUAAAGUGGCGGCACGGGUGAGUAACGCGUAGAUAACCUGUCUUCAUGUCUGGAAUAAUACGCCGAAAGGGGUACUAAUACCGGAUAUUCUUGCUUUUCAUAAGUUAUGCAAGCAAAGGUGGCCUCUGCAUAUGCUACUGCAUGAAGAGGGGUCUGCGUACCAUUAGCUAGUAGGUGGGGUAAUGGCCUACCUAGGCGACGAUGGUUAGCGGGUCUGAGAGGAUGAUCCGCCACACUGGCACUGGAACACGGGCCAGACUCCUACGGGAGGCAGCAGUGAGGAAUAUUGCGCAAUGGGGGAAACCCUGACGCAGCGACGCCGCGUGAGUGAGGAAGGCCUUCGGGUCGUAAAGCUCUGUCAAGAGGAAAGAAGUGUACAAUGGCUAAUACCUGUUGUAUUUGACGGUACCUCUAAAGGAAGCACCGGCUAACUCCGUGCCAGCAGCCGC
Molecule: ribosomal RNA, 518 nt
Filed under: uncultured bacterium
Lineage: Bacteria
Description: bacterial SSU rRNA
Rfam family: Bacterial small subunit ribosomal RNA
Source: RNAcentral